CCACCUGCAGACAGACAGACAGAUCCUGAAAUGCCGGUGCUCCUUGAAAGAUAGCAUUAGCAAUGAGUGGAAGUCAGGAGGGAGAGGUCUAAAGCAAGUGUAAUGUCUCAAACCAAAAGCCUGUAGGAUCCUGAAGCCCUCAUGCUAGAGCACACAUCACUCUGCAAAGCGCAAUGACUGGAGCAGCAAGAUGUUGCGUAUUUACUGCAGGGAAUAAACUAUCGCUACAGAUGCCAUAAAAGAUUCAUAUAAGCAUGUGUAUACACUCUCAACAGUGCUUUUGACAUUAUUCAGGAAAGAACAAAAGAUGUCACUGGCUUACAUGUGAAACAUCACAUAGAAGUCAGAUGCAAUCUGAUGGAGCAAUUGCUGCUUCUAACCAGAUUAUUACUAAUUUCAUUACACCGCCUUCCCAACUCCUCUAUUCCAACUCUACCAUAGCCCUUGCAAUGAAUUCCUGGUCACAGGUUCACAGACAUCAGCCUGUACAGAGUUAGAUGCUGGAAGAGACUCCUGAACAGUAGAAAUCCCAGCUCACACAGCCCAGUCUUGUGGCUCUACUGUGCAUGGCCAGAUCCAACCACUGGUUCCCAUAGUAAUAAAACAGAUUUUUGCCACUGCUGGCUUCCUCUGUUGAAAGAGAGACACAGAAACCCCCCUUGAGCUAUUAAGGGACACGUAGUAAUUUUACUACUCUGUCACUUGUCAAGAGCUGAAGAGAAAUCACAAUUGUGAGUUGGCUUCAGGCUCCGGACUCUGCUGGCUGGAGUUGCUACCAGAGCAUUCAUGCUAAGAGCUGCAGGCUAUUUGUCACUUGAGGUAGCUGUCGAGUCAUAAAUCAUAAAAUACAACAGUUAGUGGAAGGCUGGAGGACAGCCACGUUUGGGAGUGCCCCAGAUACUGAUGGAUGACUGCAAAAAUACCAUCAGAAGGCAAAGAUGAUAAAUCACCCGUGAUGACUUCAGUUAAGGACACGGGCACUGUCCUACUGAAGUCCUAUGGCUCUGUGAAGGAGAACAUCCCUUUCCUCAACCGUCAAGGAGUAAGAUGAGCAGCAGCGUUGGCAUUUGUAAUGGCAGACUGGUGCUCCCACUACGUACGAGCCCAAGGCCUGCAGGAGACCUUUACAAUGGUGGCACUACCCCACCUGCUCAUCAUAGUAGGCCUACACUUAAGUUCUUGCUCCACAUGUGAAUCAGCUCUGCAGCUGCAUUAUGGUAUGAACCUGGGCCUAUUAUGCAUCGCCUGAGGGUAAUAGAUUAGCUUUGGCUCCAUACUGCAAUAAAAAUGCCACACAGCAUUCAUAACAGCAACUACACUGGAUCAGAUAAAGGCUGGUGUAGCCUAGCAGUCGCUUAUGGGAAGCACGUAGGAGUAAGGCACUGGAGUAGUGCUGUACUUUUCUCAGCACUCUAGCUUAGGACCACAUCCAGUCUCUGUUCAGUAAGUGUAGCUGAGUGAAGGCAUGACUGCCAUUUUGCCCAGCUCUAUCUGUUUGUUACCAGCCUGGUUUAUUACCAAGGCACUUGCCUAGGAAUUACAACAAAUGAAAGCACUCGGCGAAGUAAAAAGUCGGUAUUGCUAUGAAUAGAUUAGCAAAGAGAGAUAGUAUAACUAAGAGAUAGGCAAAUUGUGGUUUCAUUAAUGGAAACUAUAUACUUAAUGCCAAGUUUCAGACUGUGAAAUAAGGCUGUGACAUAACCUAGGCAAUUAUUCACUGAUCAAUUAGCAGCAGCAUGGGAGAUAUUAAGAGGAAUAAUGUCUCAUCUGAAAUUGCACCUUACGUUUUACAGAGGCACUUCUUAUUUAAGUCUAGCAAAAGCAUAAUGAACUUACAAACCAAACCUUCCUCUGGGUAUUUUUAGCCUCUAGACAGUAACACCAAGUGCACUUUAGAAGGUACAUCUGGGCUGUUCACAGCUCCAGUAGAAGUCCACAUGUGCAGAUGCAGUAUCAUGUAUAUAAAGUAGUUAUUUCAAAGAGCAUUUUGAAGCAUAACUCAACUAACACACCAUAUAAAAGAGGGAUGACUCAAAUUACUAUCCAAAUGUCAAUGUCUCCCCAUUUUAUAAGUGACAAAUUUGUGAAAACAGGAUUUGCUCAGGGCAAGUGCAUGUCAUAGGCAGAGGCUGAAUGCAGGUUUCCUGACUUCAAUAAAAAACUCCCUUUUAAUGAUUUUCAGGCAUGAUAACAUGAUAUCAUAAUCCCUCUACUAACAUGCGUCACUCACGUUUCAGUAGCAUUUUCCCCUUAGGAAUAUUAAACAAUAAUAAAGACUAACACUUGCUAUUAAGAAAACAAAACCAAUUCUGCAAAGGUAAUUCAAAUCCCCGGAAAGCUGUGCUUACCUGGUCCAUUUCCUUUUUAGCCAUGCCAAAUUUAUAGUGACCUAACAAGAAUGGCCAUACUUCCUUUCGAAUCUCAUGCUGUACCCCGCCGUAGUAAACUCUUCUAAGUAAUUCCAGUUCCUUGUAAUUCUACAGUAGUCAGGAGAAAGAGGUACUGAAGGUAAUUACAUCUUUAUUUUCCUUAGGCAUGCUCGUAUACACUUAAUACCAAGUAUAAAGACAGUGAAAUGCACGCACGGCACUAAAUAAAUUUUGCAACUUGAUCCAGGCCUUUAGGGCCUUAGCUCAAAUCCAGUCUAAUAUAGGCUGUCAUGCCUCCCAUUAAAAUAAUCUAACUUUUAAUAGACUAGAGUCAUCAUGAGAUCAGUUGCUUUGAUGUUAAUUGAUAUCUUUGCUAUCAUUAGAGAAGCAAAGGACAAAAGAGAUUGUAAGAAUCGACUCACUCACUAGAAAGAGAAGUGAUCCUGUGAAGACUAGAAAAUGCCUUUAAUGCUUCCUGGGGUCCAUUCUAAGGGAUACCGUGCUCAACGCAGCAGUGUGUGGGAGCUAGUGUAAUGAAUAAAUGUUACUUACCUUCUUGUCCUUCUGAUACUUGCUCCAGACCUCUUUAGUCAGGCCGCCUGCAGCACUGGAUGGUUUGUCAGGUGGGAUAAUAGUGUGGUUCACGAGGGCAGACAGAUGCGUUCGCACUGUUGACAAAUGGCGGCAGUAGGCAAGCCCUGUGGUUGGGGCAGGAGAUAAACUUUUAUAAAUGAGCAAUCUACCUAAUAUCAGCAGCCCCUUUUUGAAGAUGAAGCUGUGUGACAUUUUAAACCUGCCACUAAUAACCCUAUAUGAACUAAACUUGCAUUGUACUGUAUCAGAAUGAAGAAUUGCAACAGAGCCAAAGAUUAACUAAAUCUUACACAGACUAGUAAAAUCCGAGUAUUACACUGCAAAGUAAAACUACAUUCUGUCUUCACUAAGCAUCAGUUCACCCAUUGCUAUAUGCAAAACCCACAAAUAAUGGAAUUAUGAAGCUAUGACACUUGAGUCACGUCCACCCUACUGCCCUGAGGUGAUCUGACUCACAACCAUAAAUUUGGGUUUGGACUGCUUUCUAAAACAAACAUCACAUGUUUUUUAGAUAAGCAUAUGGAUACCACAAGGGCUGGAUAUAAGAAGCUUCACUUACAUCCAUAAAAGGCUCUGGAAACUAUUUGCCUCUUCAUGCUUUCACACAACAUCUUUAAUGGAGUUCUGUGGAGACACAUUAACAGGAACGUGAUAGGUCAUGAGGACAGAGAUCAUAAUGAAUUUUAUGCUGAUCCCUAUGACCUAACACAUAGCAAUUCUUUUUCUGCACCAAGAUUUAUUUAGCUAAAGGACAACAAUAAUGACAAAUCACAUUUUUUAAAGCAUUUUCCCCACCAGCAUUUUGGCCCAAAACAGAUUCACCUGGCACAUUUAGCUACAACUGCUGCAGAUGCAUUGUAAAUGUCCUUGUCAAAUUAGAUGAAUUGUUGCCCUUCAUUGUAAUUACUAAUUACUUGUUGAAGAAAAUGCUUCCAGAGCUGAUUUAUAUUAAACUGGACAAAAGAAUUA
Long non-coding RNA from Harpia harpyja (harpy eagle), 3932 nucleotides. RefSeq lists it as uncharacterized. The transcript is spliced from 2 exons. The record is from RefSeq and is a predicted model, not a curated record. Lineage: Eukaryota; Metazoa; Chordata; Aves; Accipitriformes; Accipitridae.